GUCUACCUCCAUGCCACCCUGAACAAGCCCAGUCCUGUCUGAUCUUGGAAGCUAAGCAGGGUCGGGCCUGGCUAGUACUGGUUAGUACUUGGUAUGGGAGACC
Molecule: ribosomal RNA, 103 nt
Filed under: Pteropus alecto (black flying fox)
Lineage: Eukaryota; Metazoa; Chordata; Mammalia; Chiroptera; Pteropodidae
Source: RNAcentral